GAUGAACGCUGGCGGCGUGCCUAAUACAUGCAAGUCGAGCGAACAGAUGAGGAGCUUGCUCCUCUGACGUUAGCGGCGGACGGGUGAGUAACACGUGGAUAACCUACCUAUAAGACUGGGAUAACUUCGGGAAACCGGAGCUAAUACCGGAUAAUAUAUUGAACCGCAUGGUUCAAUAGUGAAAGACGGUUUUGCUGUCACUUAUAGAUGGAUCCGCGCCGCAUUAGCUAGUUGGUAAGGUAACGGCUUACCAAGGCAACGAUGCGUAGCCGACCUGAGAGGGUGAUCGGCCACACUGGAACUGAGACACGAUCCAGACUCCUACGGGAGGCAGCAGUAGGGAAUCUUCCGCAAUGGGCGAAAGCUUGACGGAGCAACGCCGCGUGAGUGAUGAAGGUCUUCGGAUCGUAAAACUCUGUUAUUAGGGAAGAACAAAUGUGUAAGUAACUAUGCACGUCUUGACGGUACCUAAUCAGAAAGCCGCGGCUAACUACGUG
RNAcentral lists this ribosomal RNA (497 nucleotides) under uncultured bacterium. Its description in RNAcentral is "partial 16S ribosomal RNA". It matches the Rfam family "Bacterial small subunit ribosomal RNA", at positions 28 to 507 of the family's 1533-position model. The record is from RNAcentral.